RNAcentral lists this small RNA (127 nucleotides) under Marmota monax (woodchuck). The record is from RNAcentral. Lineage: Eukaryota; Metazoa; Chordata; Mammalia; Rodentia; Sciuridae.
ACCAGGCGUAGUGGCGCAUGCCUGUAAUCCUAGGGACUUGGGAGUCUGAGGCAGGAGGAUCGCAAGUUCAAGGCCAGCCUCAGCAAUUUAAUGAGGCCCUCAACAACUUAGUGAGAUCUUACCUCAA